AGUAAUACAUCGGAACGUGUCUUCUAGUGGGGGAUAACUGCCCGAAAGGGCAGCUAAUACCGCAUGAGACCUGAGGGUGAAAGCGGGGGGAUCGCAAGACCUCGCGCUGGAAGAGCGGCCGAUGUCCGAUUAGCUAGUUGGUGAGGUAAAGGCUCACCAAGGCGACGAUCGGUAGCUGGUCUGAGAGGACGACCAGCCACACUGGGACUGAGACACGGCCCAG
RNAcentral lists this ribosomal RNA (223 nucleotides) under uncultured bacterium. RNAcentral's name for it is "partial 16S ribosomal RNA". It matches the Rfam family "Bacterial small subunit ribosomal RNA", at positions 109 to 334 of the family's 1533-position model. The record is from RNAcentral.